Molecule: ribosomal RNA, 253 nt
Filed under: uncultured bacterium
Lineage: Bacteria
Description: partial 16S ribosomal RNA
Rfam family: Bacterial small subunit ribosomal RNA
Source: RNAcentral
UACGAAGGGGGCUAGCGUUGUUCGGAAUUACUGGGCGUAAAGCGCACGUAGGCGGAUUGUUAAGUCGGGGGUGAAAUCCCAGGGCUCAACCCUGGAACUGCCUCCGAUACUGGCAUUCUCGAGUCCGAGAGAGGUGAGUGGAAUUCCGAGUGUAGAGGUGAAAUUCGUAGAUAUUCGGAGGAACACCAGUGGCGAAGGCGGCUCACUGGCUCGAUACUGACGCUGAGGUGCGAAAGCGUGGGGAGCAAACAGG